This 492-nucleotide ribosomal RNA is filed under the name uncultured bacterium. RNAcentral describes it as "partial 16S ribosomal RNA". It matches the Rfam family "Bacterial small subunit ribosomal RNA", at positions 29 to 507 of the family's 1533-position model. The record is from RNAcentral.
AGUGAACGCUGGCGGUAGGCCUAACACAUGCAAGUCGAACGGCAGCACAGUAAGAGCUUGCUCUUACGGGUGGCGAGUGGCGGACGGGUGAGGAAUACAUCGGAAUCUACUUUUUCGUGGGGGAUAACGUAGGGAAACUUACGCUAAUACCGCAUACGACCUACGGGUGAAAGCAGGGGAUCUUCGGACCUUGCGCGAUCGAAUGAGCCGAUGUCGGAUUAGCUAGUUGGCGGGGUAAAGGCCCACCAAGGCGACGAUCCGUAGUUGGUCUGAGAGGAUGAUCAGCCACACUGGAACUGAGACACGGUCCAGACUCCUACGGGAGGCAGCAGUGGGGAAUAUUGGACAAUGGGCGCAAGCCUGAUCCAGCCAUACCGCGUGGGUGAAGAAGGCCUUCGGGUUGUAAAGCCCUUUUGUUGGGAAAGAAAAGCAGCAGGUUAAUACCCCGCUGUUCUGACGGUACCCAAAGAAUAAGCACCGGCUAACUUCGUG